AAAGCGUGCGCAGGCGGUUAUGUAAGACAGAUGUGAAAUCCCCGGGCUCAACCUGGGAACUGCAUUAGUGACUGCAUAGCUGGAGUACGGCAGAGGGGGAUGGAAUUCCGCGUGUAGCAUUGAAAUGCGUAGAUAUGCGGAGGAACACCGAUGGCGAAGGCAAUCCCCUGGGCCUGUACUGACGCUCAUGCACGAAAGCGUGGGGAGCAAACAGGAUUAGAUACCCCAGU
RNAcentral lists this ribosomal RNA (230 nucleotides) under uncultured bacterium. Its description in RNAcentral is "partial 16S ribosomal RNA". It matches the Rfam family "Bacterial small subunit ribosomal RNA", at positions 562 to 791 of the family's 1533-position model. The record is from RNAcentral.